CCUACGGGAGGCAGCAGUAGGGAAUAUUGCUCAAUGGGGGAAACCCUGAAGCAGCAACGCCGCGUGGAGGAUGAAGGUUUUCGGAUUGUAAACCCCUUUUGUUAGAGAAGAUAAUGACGGUACCUAACGAAGAAGCACCGGCUAACUCCGUGCCAGCAGCCGCGGUAAUACGGAGGGUGCAAGCGGUACUCGGAAUAAUUGGGCGUAAAGAGCGCGUAGGCGGGAUAGCAAGUCAGAUGUGAAAUCCUAUGGCUUAACCAUAGAACUGCAUUUGAAACUGUUAUUCUAGAGUGUGGGAGAGGUAGGUGGAAUUCGUGGUGUAGCGGUAAAAUGCGUAGAUAUCAAGAAGAAUACUGAUUGCGAAGGCAACCUGCUAGAACAUAACUGACGCUGAUGCGCGAAAGCGUGGGGAGCAAACAGGAUUAGAUACCCCAGUAGUC
Molecule: ribosomal RNA, 440 nt
Filed under: uncultured bacterium
Lineage: Bacteria
Description: partial 16S ribosomal RNA
Rfam family: Bacterial small subunit ribosomal RNA
Source: RNAcentral